Molecule: non-coding RNA, 46 nt
Organism: Operophtera brumata (winter moth)
Lineage: Eukaryota; Metazoa; Arthropoda; Insecta; Lepidoptera; Geometridae
Source: Rfam
CAAUAGGCCCUUCUCAGGGCUACUAUAAAACCUCAAGAUGCUAUUU